CCAUCGAUAGCUUCUCCUCCCUCAAAACAGGAAAAAAAAUUCUCUAUUACCAAAGCUUCAAGAAAUCCCAGAGUGGGCUAUAGUGAACGUAAUCAAGUGAUUCCAAAGUCAAAGUUGCUUAGUUUUCUCCCAAGAGCAAAACCCACACCUUAUUUUCGGAGUUCAAGUGAGAUAUUCCCCAUUUACAGUUACGAAAAUUUGAUGGAUUCUUGGAUUUUGAGAGCAUUUCAGUUCAUUAGAGCUUAGGAACUUCUUCUCAUACCAUUCUAAGGUGAAUUGUGUGUUGUGUCUUGUGACUUGAUAGUUGAGGAACAUCCAUUGGGGCCAACCAUUGUUCAGGACUAGAGUUCUUGAGAGUUACCAAAGAGGGUUGCUUUGUGUGGUUGGUUAUGAUUGAGACUCUGACAGUAGAAAAUAGCAGUUAACGGAAGUCUACAAUAGGUUCAAUUCCGAUUCCAACGAUCAGGUUCUAGAGAGAAGCAGUAGUUAGAGUUUCAGAGAGAGCUCUGUUUCCAGCACUUCCAAUAAGUCUUCCUCUUCCUCACUCACAAACAAAGACGGUGAUUCAUCGGAGGAUGAUGAGAUCAGAUCACGAAGCGUAUCGUUCUCUGCAGUCGCUCGUUACCAUCAGAUGAAGUUCAAGAUUGUUGCUCUGAUCCAAUACUUUAACUUCUGACUUUGAUGCAAAUGCUGCAUUCUUCUGCAACACUCUUUCUUACCUAUGAUGAUGGGUUGUAUGAAAGGUGGUAGUGCAGAUGGGGAAAGCACCAUGUUUUGAUAAACAUGGAGUGAGGAGGGCAGCUUGGACUCCUGAAGAAGAUGAAGCAUUGGUUGAGUACAUUAAGAAGCAUGGCCAUGGAGGUUAGCGUACACUCCCCAAGCAAGCAGGUGCAAGUUCCUAUCCCCUUUCAUUCUUGUUCUUUUUCUUCUACGCAUCUGUAUUAUGCUUGUUUUCUUUCUUAGUUUUGAGCUUUUGGAACUUUUGAAGGUAGGGGAAAAUAGGGCUUACGGUAGAAAAUCUUGGUAGGUGUCUUUUAUUUUGAUAUUGCUUUGCUGCUGUAAUGUCUGAUCAAUUUUGUUGGCUCUCCUGCAUUUCCACUUUCCACCUCUCCAACACUCAUCAUGAUUGGGCUGUAAUUACAACAUCAUGGGGACACAUACAUCAAUUGUUGAGUGCUAACUGCUAGGUACUAAGUUCUAAUGCAUAAAAGAGACUUUCAAUUUCAAUCAUGAAUUGAUUGCUAAUAAAUAUAACUGAUGCAUUCUGUGGUAGUAUAGGUAUUUUAGUAGGGGUUAGUAUUAGUUUAGCAAUAACUCACUUCAUUCCCAUCUUAGCAAAAACAAGUUCGCAUUGGAAAGAUUUUCCUUGACCUUUGCCUCCCCAGAUACCACGGAUGCGAGGAACCUGUAAAAAUAAUGAAACAUGUUAAAUGUGUUUCCCUAUUUUAUAAAAGUCUUAGGAUAGUAUGUGUGGGAAUCGUAUAACUAAUUACAUGCCUUGAUGUUGGGCAGGGACAUGAAGUUCUUAGUGAUGUGAACAACGAGCUUGUCCAUAAAACUGAUUGUUUUACAAUCAUUUGUUCACAUAAUUAAUAAGUGGAUUCUGUUUUACAAUAUGCAUCUAUUAAAGCCCUCACUUUAUUGAUUAUAAAUUAUUAACAGGCCUUUUCAGUAUCAAUAGCAUCAAAAUUAUGGUCAUAAGGUUAAAGGAGGGUGGCUGCUCUUCCUCUUUGGUUUUAUUCUAACACCAAAAUUUAACUUAUAUAAAUUAGGUCUGCAACUAUUUACCAAAUUCCUCAACUACUCCAGCCAAAUUCCAUAUUAACCUCCCCUAUGUUGGAUUCCUUUUUUUAUUAAUAGUAUUUGAUUCUUUUUGGACUCUGCAUUACCUACGAGGGACAUAUAUCUCUAUUGGCAGACAGAUACAUCAUGACCAAUUCCAUUCAGGUAUUCCAUGCCUUGUCCAUUUAAUUGGUUCAGUUUGGAUUGUUAUAUUCAUGGGUCAAUUUGACAGAUGAACAUCCUUCCUUACCAUGAUGGGUAAGUUUAGCCCAUUCUGAUUUAAUUUUUGAGAUAAUUUUAAUUUAAUUUAUUUGAUUAUUUAUGGUUCAUAUAAAUAGGUGGUGGGCCCCUUCAAAAUUUGACCCUGUGAAGUCACCUAUGCUUUUCUUCAAGGCAGGCCAGCCGGUGAUCCCUCCAUUACUACCAGAUCGAGGCCUGGAUAUGGUUUUGGAGCACAUGGUUCAUUUACACCUUUCUUGGCCUUGGAGUUACGUUCUGUGUGAUCACUUGUUCCGGUCACAUUGCUGCUGAAACUGCUAAUGGUUGUUGCCUGUAUGGAUAAUUUGUUUGGAUAAUUUGUUUGGUUUUCGAAAUAAAUUAUUGUUGAUGAGAUUCAUUUUGGGAUAAGUAAAUUUUAAG
Molecule: long non-coding RNA, 2421 nt
Organism: Gastrolobium bilobum
Lineage: Eukaryota; Viridiplantae; Streptophyta; Magnoliopsida; Fabales; Fabaceae
Exons: 7
Source: RefSeq, a predicted model, not a curated record